ACUGAGUGUCUGCCACAUGUACAGAGCCCACAAGCUGCCAUGAGCUAUUUCUACAUGUAACUAGGUGACUACGCCUUGCAGCUUCCCCUACGUUAUAGGCUUUUUAACUUCAUUAUGUGAUCAGGCAUGUUGCCAACUUUGAAGGCCAUUCCACGCAUCUGAGUGAUUUGGCUUGCCGUCCAGGUGAUUUAAGUGCCAAUCUUGAUAAAGGUCCGCAUAAGGACCGAAACGUCGAUGAAAUACGGCAUCAACAGUGAACCCGAAUAAAAAUAUACUGAAUUUACU
Long non-coding RNA from Pseudophryne corroboree (corroboree frog), 285 nucleotides. RefSeq lists it as uncharacterized. NCBI's taxonomy places the organism in Eukaryota, Metazoa, Chordata, Amphibia, Anura, Myobatrachidae. The record is from RefSeq and is a predicted model, not a curated record. The transcript has 3 exons.